RNAcentral lists this ribosomal RNA (1359 nucleotides) under uncultured bacterium. RNAcentral describes it as "bacterial SSU rRNA". It matches the Rfam family "Bacterial small subunit ribosomal RNA", at positions 28 to 1381 of the family's 1533-position model. The record is from RNAcentral.
AUUGAACGCUGGCGGCAUGCCUUACACAUGCAAGUCGAACGGCAGCACGGACUUCGGUCUGGUGGCGAGUGGCGAACGGGUGAGUAAUGUAUCGGAACGUACCUUUCAGUGGGGGAUAACGUAGCGAAAGUUACGCUAAUACCGCAUAUUCUGUGAGCAGGAAAGCAGGGGAUCGCAAGACCUUGCGCUGAUUGAGCGGCCGAUAUCAGAUUAGCUAGUUGGUGGUGUAAAGGCCUACCAAGGCUACGAUCUGUAGCGGGUCUGAGAGGAUGAUCCGCCACACUGGAACUGAGACACGGUCCAGACUCCUACGGGAGGCAGCAGUGGGGAAUUUUGGACAAUGGGGGCAACCCUGAUCCAGCCAUGCCGCGUGAGUGAAGAAGGCCUUCGGGUUGUAAAGCUCUUUCGGCCGGGAAGAAAUCGCAUCAGCUAAUACCUGGUGUGGAUGACGGUACCGGAAUAAGAAGCACCGGCUAACUACGUGCCAGCAGCCGCGGUAAUACGUAGGGUGCGAGCGUUAAUCGGAAUUACUGGGCGUAAAGCGUGCGCAGGCGGUUGUGUAAGACAGGCGUGAAAUCCCCGGGCUCAACCUGGGAACUGCGCUUGUGACUGCACAGCUAGAGUACGGCAGAGGGGGGUGGAAUUCCACGUGUAGCAGUGAAAUGCGUAGAGGUGUGGAGGAACACCGAUGGCGAAGGCAGCCCCCUGGGCCGAUACUGACGCUCAUGCACGAAAGCGUGGGUAGCAAACAGGAUUAGAUACCCUGGUAGUCCACGCCCUAAACGAUGUCAACUAGGUGUUGGGUGGGUAAAACCAUUUAGUACCGUAGCUAACGCGUGAAGUUGACCGCCUGGGGAGUACGGCCGCAAGGUUAAAACUCAAAGGAAUUGACGGGGACCCGCACAAGCGGUGGAUGAUGUGGAUUAAUUCGAUGCAACGCGAAAAACCUUACCUACCCUUGACAUGUCCAGAAGCCCGAAGAGAUUUGGGUGUGCCCGAAAGGGAACUGGAACACAGGUGCUGCAUGGCUGUCGUCAGCUCGUGUCGUGAGAUGUUGGGUUAAGUCCCGCAACGAGCGCAACCCUUGUCGUUAAUUGCCAUCAUUUAGUUGGGCACUUUAACGAGACUGCCGGUGACAAACCGGAGGAAGGUGGGGAUGACGUCAAGUCCUCAUGGCCCUUAUGGGUAGGGCUUCACACGUCAUACAAUGGUCGGUACAGAGGGUUGCCAAGCCGCGAGGUGGAGCCAAUCCCAGAAAGCCGAUCGUAGUCCGGAUUGCAGGCUGCAACUCGCCUGCAUGAAGUCGGAAUCGCUAGUAAUCGCGGAUCAGCAUGUCGCGGUGAAUACGUUCCCGGGUCU